AGUGAACGCUGGCGGUAGGCCUAACACAUGCAAGUCGAACGGCAGCACAGUAAGAGCUUGCUCUUACGGGUGGCGAGUGGCGGACGGGUGAGGAAUACAUCGGAGUCUACUUUUUCGUAGGGGAUAACGUAGGGAAACUUACGCUAAUACCGCAUACGACCUACGGGUGAAAGCAGGGGAUCUUCGGACCUUGCGCGAUUGAAUGAGCCGAUGUCGGAUUAGCUAGUUGGCGGGGUAAAGGCCCACCAAGGCGACGAUCCGUAGCUGGUCUGAGAGGAUGAUCAGCCACACUGGAACUGAGACACGGUCCAGACUCCUACGGGAGGCAGCAGUGGGGAAUAUUGGACAACGGGCGCAAGCCUGAUCCAGCCAUGCCGCGUGGGUGAAGAAGGCCUUCGGGUUGUAAAGCCCUUUUGUUGGGAAAGAAAAGCAGCAGGUUAAUACCCCGCUGUUCUGACGGUACCCAAAGAAUAAGCACCGGCUAACUUCGUG
This 492-nucleotide ribosomal RNA is filed under the name uncultured bacterium. Its description in RNAcentral is "partial 16S ribosomal RNA". It matches the Rfam family "Bacterial small subunit ribosomal RNA", at positions 29 to 507 of the family's 1533-position model. The record is from RNAcentral.